GAUGAAGAACGCAGCGAAAUGCGAUAAGUAAUGUGAAUUGCAGAAUUCAGUGAAUCAUCGAAUCUUUGAACGCACAUUGCGCCCCCUGGUAUUCCGGGGGGCAUGCCUGUCCGAGCGUCAUUACAACCCUCAAGCUCAGCUUGGUGUUGGGCCCCGCCGCCCCGGCGGGCCCUAAAGUCAGUGGCGGUGCCGUCCGGCUCCGAGCGUAGUAAUUCUUCUCGCUCUGGAGGUCCGGUCGUGUGCUCGCCAGCAACCCCCAAUUUUUUUCAGGUUGACCUCGGAUCAGGUAGGGAUACCCGCUGAACUUAAGCAUAUGAAUAAGCGGAGGA
RNAcentral lists this unclassified non-coding RNA (329 nucleotides) under soil metagenome. RNAcentral describes it as "partial contains 5.8S ribosomal RNA, internal transcribed spacer 2, and large subunit ribosomal RNA". The stretch from base 1 to 120 matches the Rfam family "5.8S ribosomal RNA", at positions 35 to 154 of the family's 154-position model. The record is from RNAcentral.